RNAcentral lists this ribosomal RNA (253 nucleotides) under uncultured bacterium. RNAcentral's name for it is "partial 16S ribosomal RNA". It matches the Rfam family "Bacterial small subunit ribosomal RNA", at positions 524 to 776 of the family's 1533-position model. The record is from RNAcentral.
UACGUAGGGGGCAAGCGUUGUCCGGAAUCAUUGGGCGUAAAGAGCGUGUAGGCGGCCCGAUAAGUCCGCCGUGAAAGUCCAGGGCUCAACCCUGGAAUGCCGGUGGAAACUGUCGGGCUGGAGUCCGGAAGAGGCGAGUGGAAUUCCUGGUGUAGCGGUGAAAUGCGCAGAUAUCUGGAGGAACACCGGUGGCGAAGGCGGCAUUCUGGACCGACAUUGACGCUGAGGAGCGAAAGCCAGGGGAGCAAACGGG